Molecule: long non-coding RNA, 10284 nt
Organism: Mobula hypostoma (lesser devil ray)
Lineage: Eukaryota; Metazoa; Chordata; Chondrichthyes; Myliobatiformes; Myliobatidae
Exons: 3
Source: RefSeq, a predicted model, not a curated record
CGCUGCACCCCUGCAUACUUCGCGGAUCGGUAUCGGUCUGCGGCCUGGAGGGUGGGGACCACUGUACUACCCCAGCCUCCGACGACUCAGCCUAACACACCAUCAUCAGUGUGCUCGGUGCUGUCUUCCUGAUUCUGGUAAGUGAAACGACACUGUACAUACAUUAUUUCCUCUUUAUAUAGGCUGUGUAUUUUUAUGUGUUAUUUGGUAUGAUUUGGCAGCUUCAUAGCUUAAAGGUUACUAGAGAGAGUGUUUCUGCCGAGAGCGCUUGCGUGAGAUUUUGGCUACGGAGAACAGUGCGGCAAUGAUUGUGGAAAAGUAUUUCUACUUUAUAUAGGCUGUGUAUUUAUCAUAUCAUUCCUGCUUUUACUAUAUGUUACUGUUAUUUUAGGUUUUAUGUGUUAUUUGGCAUGAUUUGGUAGGUUGUUUUUUUGGGUCUGCGAACGCUCACAAAUUUUUCCCAUAUAAAUAAAUGGUAAUUGCUUCUUCACUCUUUACCACAUUCCAGCUUAUGAACCAUUUCAUAGGAACACUCUACCUUCGGAUGGCGGGGGAAACCUGUAUUGUAGUCCUCUUCAAAUAAAUACUAACAUUACAUUUGUCUUCCUUACUGCUGACUCAGCCUGCAAGUUAACCUUUAGGGAAUUCUGCACAAGGACUCCCAAGUCCCUUUCUUAAUCUGAUUUAUGAUCUUUCUCCCCAUUUAGAAAAUAGCCUAUGCCUUUACUUUUUCUACUCAAAGUGACUAACCUUAUAUUUCCCUCCACUGUAUUCCAUCUGACACUUCUUUGCCCUUUCUCCCAAUCCAUCCAAAUCCUUGUUUAGACUCCCUGCUCCCUCAACACCUCUUGCCCCUCCACCUUUUUUAUUGUCUUCAAACUUGACUACAAAACCACUCAUUCCAUCAUCCAAAUCUUGACAAGUGACAUGAAAAGAAGUGGUCCCAAUACCAGCUCCUGCAGAAUACCACUUGACACUGUCAGGUAACCAGACUAGGCCUCCUUUAUUCCGAUUCUUAGCCUCCUGCCAAUCAGCCAAUCUUCUAUCCGUUAGUAUCUUUCCCUAUAAUAUCAUGGGAUCUUAUAAAGCUGCCUCAUGUGUGGCAACUUGUCAAAGGCCUGAAAAUCCAAGAAAACAACAUCCACUGACUCUCCUUUUUCUAUCCUCCUUGUUAUGUCCUCAAGAAGAAUUCCAACAAAUAUGUCAGGCAAGAUUUCCCCUUCAGGAAUGUGAAAUUUCAAAAUAAUCCAAAAUAUUUUUAAGAAUAACAUCUUUGCGCCUUUAAUCUUUGACUUUUAAGCCUCAUUGGAACUUUCAGAUCCGAGACAUUAUACUCGGGAAUUUCAGCAAGAUUAGGUUUUACUGCUAUAAUCUCAGCAGCAGGAUAGCUUUGUGAAUGAAGCAGAGCGAAAAAAAAAUUAAACAUUAAGAUGGUAGUUUUGUAUACUGUAUUUUUAAAAUGAUGUGUUGGUGUGUGUCUGUAAGAAUGGAAGAAAUGUCUGCUCUGGUUUCAAUUUGUUUUGGUUUUGAUUCCAUGAACUUUGACAGGAGAGAAAGUGAGUCACAAUGUAGGGAUAAAGAGAAAUUGAAAUUGGAGCACUUGGGCUAAGCAAGGGUAAAUAGUCCAUAAAAUGAUGUUAUUUCAGUUAAAACCUGUUAAUGAAGUUGCAAUUUAAGUUGUAGUUGCAUUUUAUGUUGCAGCUUUUACAUAUUACAGCUUUUUUUGUGUUGUAGCUUUAUAACAUUUAAACUGCAUCUACGUAGUCUGUGAUCUACAUUUUGGUGGUGUGUUAUCGAGCCAAUUGAGUGAAAUGGCGCUUCGCUGUCUCUGAGAGAGCUCUGGGAGAAUUCGAAUGAAAUGUGUGGCCUCAAGGCCAAGAAGACUGGAGAUAGGGCGCGAGUUCACAUUAUGCUGUGUUUCUUUUUCUGUUGCUAUUUUGGGUGACUUUGAGUCAGGGUGGCCUUCAGAUAAAGAACACUGAGCUGAACUGAAGUAUGUUUGGACUCUUUCGAUUUUGUGUUUUCUCACUUGUUUUUUUUUGUUGCCAGUUGCGUGUUUUUUUUCUGUGUGGGGGGAGGGAGAGUUUGCUGUUUCUCUUCAAUUGAAUUCAAGUUUAAUUGUCAUUUAACCAUAUAUACAUAGUCAAGUUCAGUUUAAAUCUUCAGUCACCACAGCUGCUCUACACUGCUCCUGGUAGAGUGCAAUGGUUCAGACGUCCCAGCAGCUUGAGACCUGAGUCCAUUGAGUGCCACUAAAAAAUCUUCAGUCAGCCACAACAGAGCUCCAUCGACUCAGGCAGCAGCACGUUCUGGAGCUCCUUUGUUAUCUUCACUAGUGAGCAACCUGCUGAUGGUGUAGACUUGCAGUCCUUCGAGUUCUUAAUGUAUAGAAGGAUUUUGAGUAGAACGGUAGCACCUUUGGUUGACCCCAUAGAAGCCGCUGCAACCAGUAGUGCCGCCACCUUGCCGAAAGAAAAAAAACAGCUUCCAUGGUUUUCUUUUAUUUGGUGGCUGUCUGUGGGGAAGACGAAGCUCAGGGUUGUAUACUGCAUUCAUAGUUUGAUAAUAAAUGUUCUUUGAAUCUGGAAUAUUGCAUUCACUUCUGGUCACCCCAUUAUAGGAAGGAUUUGGAGAGAGUGCAGAAGAGGUUGACCGGAAUGCUGCCUGGAUUAGUGGUGUGUGCUGAAAAAACAGGGUGGAUGGUCUUUGGUUGUUUUUUCCUCAGCGGCAGAAGCUAAGGGGAGAUCUGAUAGAAAUUUAUAUGAUUAUGAGAGACAUAGAUAAAUAGCCAGUAUCUUUUUCCCAGGGUUGAAAUGCCUAACACUGUGUGUGUGUGUGUGUGUGUGAGUGUGUGUGUGUGGCCUCCGUCGGUUGUGGUUGACCAUGGGUACUGCGCCUCUGGUAGUCACUGGGGAGUGGCCUCUCCAGGGCACAAGCCAGGGCAGAGUUGAUGUGGAGAUCCGUCUGUUGCCCAUGCAGUGGGACCCCCUUUCCAUGCUGAUGACAGGUCCAAAGGAACAACGAAAGUCAAUACAGUUUGGUGCCAGCAGCAUCGCAGGAGUUGCCGUGACGGUGCUGGGUACGGCAGUCAGCCGCCUUCGGGACUCCGACUCCGGAUUUUUCCUCGGGGUUUACUCUCAAAGCCUUUCCUGUGAGCGGGUAUAGCUUCAAGGCAGCGGAGGUUUGAAAUCGGGGUUUUUCCUCUCCUAGAUGAUCUACCAUCCGUGGUUAUGAGCCCCAUCUGCCCGGAGCAACUGGUUUUAAGGUGCCAGUGGCCCGCCUUUGCCCCUUCUCCUGUCAGUGAGAACAGCUCUGCUGGGCAUAAGAACUAUGCCACACGUGAAGGCCAGGAGUUGGACUUGGUUAUCAGAGGCUGUUUGAGAUGCAUGCCAUGAAGAGCAUUUGUUUAGCAGUGGGAGCUCGUCCCCACUACCACCCUUCGGCUGUGACUACCUUUGGAGCGUCUAUUAAAGGUGAGGGGGUUAAUUAGGUUCAAAGGAGAUGUGUAGGUCAAGUUUCUGUUCUUGUGUUGUACUGUCCUAUGUUCUAAUUAACUCACUUGUAUUUCUUUCCAUUUGGAAAAGAUAAUUUUAGUGGCUUAUAAAAGUAAGGAAGAACUUUUCAUUUCUAAUAUUGGUGAGGAGACAGAAAGUCAGCAAAAAAAACAUAUGACCAUUUCUUUUCUCAUUCUGGUUUGAUUUUUUUUAUAGAGUUGGAUUUUGAAAUUUUUUUUUUUAGCAAAAUUGACCGGAGAUGAAAAGAAAGAAAUGAAUUGAAGGCUCUGGUGCAACUAGAAGUAAGUUGUGAACUGAAGUUGACAAACCAACUAAGUUAGCCUUCUGUGGGCCAAUCAUGUUGUAGCCUCUAACUUCAUUCAUCUGAAGAUUGCACAUGAUAUUAACAUUGGUCUGCAAUUCCAACACAAAUAAUAUUGCAAAUAUGUUUUUCCUUUCAGCGCUUUCUGUUUCUAAAUAUCAUUAUGAACUUACACUCUACGUAUACCGCUGCUAAUAGGACAGUGUAAUGAAAUGGGGAAUGUAGUUGUCAAUAAGAAUUUGUAAUGAAAAAUAUGGUCAAAAUGUGUGACUUUCAAUUCGUACGCCUCGAUCCGGUUGGCUGUUGAGCAGCAUCUGUGGUGGUGGUGGGGGGAGAAGAAUAGUCAAUAUUUCAGGAGGAGUGAAAGGUAACUGGCAGGUGAGAGGAAAGGUGGAGGAGUUGAGCGACAGCAGCAGAAAGAUGAUAAGUGUGCCAGACAAGGAGAAAAUAAAAGGACGAGAAAGAUUGAGAACUAGAUGGAGAUGAGUGAGAGAAGGUAAGGGGAAGAUUGGAGACAGAUGCUGAAAAGUGAUAAGCAGGAACACAAAAUUCUAAUUCUGCUCUACUGACCACUACACAUAGUAUUGGUUGCCUAUCUGGAAUAGAAUGAGAGAAGUCUUUGUAUUAAAAUCUGUGUGUACCAAGUUCACUGCCUUCUGAAAAUGAAAGAUGCAAUGUGUGUGAUUUAACCUUCACUAAUUUUAUACUACCUGUUUAUUUUUAUGAGAGCAGCUGUUAAUGACCAUGUUGCACUGACCAUUUUGUUAAUUAGCUUGACACAUCAGCUUGGAGUCAAUUUUAUGAGUGAUGUUAUUCUGUUAGUUACUCUGCACCCACUAAAGAGGAGGCACACUGUAGCUGGUGGUUGUUGCUGUCUGCCUUUCUGCAAUCACCUGAGAAACAAAGAAGAAUGGCACAACACGGGAGAAGGACGAAGGUUUUCAGCUGCAGCAAACUGCAAAAUACAUUCUGUGUCAAUACAUAACCAGGAGGCCGUGCCGCUAUUUGUCAAGAAAGAGAAAGAUCUGGAAUAGAGCAUUUGAUGUUAACCCUGGGAGACAAGUCUCAAGGACCUGAAUGCAUUGCCACAAGGAGUUCAACUUCAUCACACUUGUCAAGGGCAAGGUGAUGUAUAACAAGAUGCAGAAGGAACAAACUAAAGCAGACAGGCAUGCCUGUAUGCCACAGUCAUCAUUAAAGGAGAGAAUACAGACCAUUAUUAGUGUGUCCAUUAUUUAGGCCUUGGCUCAAAGAUAAUGAUACCCAAGAUCAGGCCAAAUGAGAAGAUAAACUGCACUCAAGUUCCAAAUUGGAUUUGACAAUACACGUAAUUUUGAGUAUAGCAUAAGGCAGAAUCUGCAUAUGGUGAUAAAUCAGGUACUUAAUGACACUGCCAGGUCAUCGAUAAGGCUGACAAUACCAGCAAAACUCUCUUCACUAUCAGCCAGCGUGAAGGUGUCCAAUACAGAGCUUUGUACAAAGUUUAAAGCCUAUCCUUUCUGCAAGGAAAGGGAUGGCUAACUCUGGUCUGCAUGGACUGAACUGAACUGAAUGGUAGUGCAACCCCAGCUGUAAGAUUGGGCUUCAGCGCCCACCGCUGCCUGUAAGCAGUUUGUGCGUUCUCCCCAUGACCGCGUGGGUUUCCUCUGGGUGCUCCGGUUUCCUCUCACAUUCCAAAAACACACAGUUAUGAUUAAUGAGUUGUAGGCGUACUAUGUUAUCACUGGAAGCAUGACGAUACUUGCGGGCUCCUCAGCACAAUCCUUGCAGAUUUGAUCUGAUGUAAAUUAUGCAAUUCAUUGUAUAUUUCGAUGUACAUGUGACGAAUAAAGCUUAUCUAUAACACAGCGUCAGAAGGCCAACAUUCCAGCACCAGCAUUACAUACAAUCUUGCCUGAUUCCAGUGGUUUAGGCAGUUUCCCAGCUCAUUCCGCACCCGUGAAGUCCAUCUUCUGCCAUUUUGGUUGAGCAUUACUGUGCAAAGUAUAUCCUGGUGGUCCAGAAAUUAAUCGGGUUGCUUGGAUUACCAUGGUGCCACUCUGGGUAGAGAUGGAGCCCAGAAGUCUCACCUCUGUCUCUUGUCUGUGUCAUUGCUGUUGCCUUUCAGCCAAUUCAACCACCACUGUAUGGCCACAUAGUAUAUAUGCAGUUGGGUUCUCUUUAUCAAGAGCUGUUUGAAGUCAUUGUUCAAGGUCAUCUACAAGUCUCCCAAUAAGCGUCAUCCAUCAUUCACCAGCUGUGCUGGCUACUGGAGUGGUACUGUAAAAGAACAUUAGGACGUGCAAAGGCACACCAAAGACAUGGACAAAAAUAAAUUAUUUUUGUUGACAUUAUGACAUGAUUCCAUUCAUACAUUUGAUCUCUAUUUUGUAUUUUGUUCUUGCAUUUACUUUUGUGGCCAAGUAAAAUUGAUCAUUGUCAUAAAAAAGAUGUAGAGUUGUUGGUGAAUAAAGGUUGUUAUUAUCCUUUUUGCACAAAUUAGAUUUUUAUGGUCAAUCCAGGGAGAAAGGGGCCGCACGGGUCGCUCCCUUUUGUUUUUUCUUUGCCAUUAGCUGAUGGCAAGAUUGGCCCUCAAAAAAACAUCUUGCUCAGAACAAACCAUGCAGUGAAAGCUUCAGGUCUGCUUUUUUACAUUCAUUGCACACAUUUCCAGUAUGUUGCAGCGAUUGUGCACUGGUCAUCAGUUGUGUUGUAAGGAAACACCAUUUUUUCCCAGUGUUUCAUUUUCAUUUUUCCAUGUUUGUUCCAUCACAAUGGAUUGUUGUGGAAUGAAGAUAAUGUGAUUCACUGUCUGCCAGCGGGAUAUUGAGGAAAUGGAAUUCCUUGUGGUUUCUGUGUAGGUUAGUGUUGACAAGUGACUUCCUGAAACUAAUUUUGAUGGCACCCUGUGUGCAGUAAGGGAAAAGCCAUGGCAUUGCCACCCGUUUUGUCUGUCUGGAAAGGCAGAACAGAAUCCUGAAGAAAAUGGCGCCAGUGAACAAUGCAACGAAAGGCAACAUCCUUCAGACAGUUCACAGAAUUACUUAAUUUACUUCCUUUACUUCUUCUUUCAAAUAUGAUUCAGCUGUUAUUGGAACCUGUGGUCUACAGUUUGAUGGUGUAUUGAGCAAUCUGGCACUUUGUUAUCUCAGAGGGAGUUUGGUGAGGUUUCGAAUGAAGUGUGCGGCCUGGAGACCAUUUCUUUCCGAUCUUACCAAUUAAAGCACUGAGGAAAAUUGAAACCAAUGAGGGUGAGAGCAGAAGGCGAGCGGGUGUUCAGCACUGGAUGCUUGUGAGUGACCGGUCUCUCCCUUGCUGCUCCCAGAGGAAGGUGCCUGUAUUCAAUCGGCACCUCUCGCUCAUUCCUGCUGGAGAAUAGUGCCAGAGUCUCGAGUCUUGGGGAAGGUUCAGUUGACACAGUUUGUGGAUUGCGCAAUUUGUUGUUUUUCUUUGCAUGUUGGGGGUUUGAUACUUUGAACAGGUUCCAUGGUUUUCUUUGUUUCGUGGCUGUCUGUGGGAAGAUGAAUCUUUGGGUUGUAUACUGCAUACAUACUUUGAUAAUAAGUGUACUUUGAAUCCUUGAAGUAGUUCUUUCUGAAAAGAGAACCCCAGUGAUUAGUAUCCAAAUUUAAGCAGCAACACAGUAUAAGAUACUGCAACUAUCGUUAGCUUCAGAAUGGAAGGAGCCAGCCACAUAAAAGUUUAUUUCUGGCAUCACUAUUACAGAUACUGACAAUGUAGCCUCCAUACUUCUCUAAUCUUGUAUUGGUGGCUGCAGCAGAUGGCAGGUUUCAAUAAAAAUGUUUUAGUUAAAUUGCAAGCAUAAAACCAUUAGAUAUAGGAGCAGAAUUAGGCCAUUUGGUCCAUUGUGUCUGCUCCACCAUUUCAUCAUGGCCGAUCCAAUUUCUCUUUCAGCCCUAAUCUCCUGCCUUCUCCCCGUGUCCCAUUAUGCUCUGACUAAUCAAGAAUCUAUCAACUUUUAGCUGAAAUAUAUCCCAUGACUUGGCCUCCAUAUCCGUCUGUGGCAACAAAUUCCACAUAUCCACCACCCUGUUGCUAAAGAAAUAUCUGCUCACCUCUGUUCUAAAAGGACAUUCCUUUAUUCUGAGGCUGCGUCCUCUGGUCAUAGACUCCCUCACCAUAGGAAAUAUCCUCUCUAUGUCCACUCUUUUGAGGCCUUUCAACGUUCGAUAGUUUUCAAUGAGGUCACCCUUCAUUCUCCUGAAUUCCAGUGAGAACAGGUCCAGAGCCAUCAAACUGUCUUCAUAUGACAAGCCUUUCAAUCCUGGAAUCAUUUUCAAGAACUUCCUUUGAACCCUCUCCAAUGUCAGAACAUCCUUUCUUAGAUAAGGGGUCCACAACUGCUCACAAUACUCCAAGUGAGGCCUUACCAGUGUCUUACAAACCCUCAAUAUUACAUCUUUGCUUUUAUAUUCUAGCCCUUUUGAAAUGAAAGUUAACAUGGCAUUUACCUUCGUCACUACUGACUCAACCUGCAAAUUAACCUUUAGGGAAUUCCCAUGUCCAUUUGCAAACAUAUCAUACAUUAUUCUUUGUUCAGGUAUAGAUUGGAGAAUUACUGCCUGAGCACAGUUGAUUGAUGUAAUUUCCUGUUGAGAGUCCCUCUGACCGUCUCUCUCUUUCUGUCCUGUUUUAUAUGUGAUUUUAUUUUUUAACAUUGCUACAUUUUAUGGAGAAUGUCUGAAUGCAUUCUUGCCUGAAAACACACAAAAUGCUGCCUGGCCUGCUGCAUUCCACCAGCAUUUUGUGUGUGUUGCUUGAAUUUCCAGCAUCUGCAGAUUUCCUCGUGCUUGCCUGAAAACACUGUGUUUAUGUGGAACCUUGAGAAUUUGCCAUAUCAUUCCCAUUUGACAACUGAAGCAAUUAUAGAAAGCACAAACACAUGUAGAAGAAAUCAACUAGCAACAACCCUCUAAAUAGCUGUUAAUUCCUUUUUAAUAGGAAUAAUUAAAUGUUAUUCUUGAUGCUGAGAGUGUUGACUGAAGUGCUAAAUUUAAACCAGCAUUUAUGCUUCACAGUUAGCUAACUUUGCCCACCAGAAGCAUGCAUUCAUUGCAAACACAUUACGGCAUUCAUGCAUAUGGCAUCCAAAGUGGUUUGACGCUUUGGUUUACCAAAACUAUGGGGAAAUUUGAAAGCCGUAUGACUCCCUCAGUAGCACAUUGCUAUUUUUAUUGUAGAUCUUUGUGCUCUUAUUUCUAGAAACUUGAACCUUCUGGCUUGGGUAACUUAAAAACUUAUAUAAAUAGCACAUUUUUAAACAUGUUAAACUACUACCAGAGCUACAAAUGAAAUAUGAUAGUGGUAAAUAGCUUUUGUGGUACAUAUUUAUGUAGCUCAUUAGCAAUUAACAAAUCGCUCUCAGUAAUUGGGUCCAUCUGUGCCACCAGAUGGGAUUGCAAAAUAUCGAUAUCCCAUAGCACAUUUAGCAAUGCGAGUACGAUGCCUGGGUAAUGGUAGAUUUAAAAUAAUCACUGUAUAUUAGGUUUAUUUGUCAAAGUCAAUUUAUUAUCAAAAUAUGUAUAUGUCACCAUCUACUACCUUAUAUUAUAUACUUAAGAUGGCACCAAGCUGUGACCUCCGUUGAGGUUGUGGCUCAAUUUUAGCUGUUUUUUUGGGGGUGGGGAUGGUUUUUAGGGACAGGGAAGAGAGAAGUUAGGUUAAAGUUGUGGGGCAAAUAGAGGACUGCCCAGAGUCUUAAGUCUCCACUCCAUAUUUGAAAGCCAGCAACAAGGGCACAGGACAUCUGGAGGCUGGGCCAUGAUGUCCAGCCAGAAGCUGGACUGGCAUACCAGCAUGGAUGAAGGCUGUGUCACCUCCUCCCACCUCCACCCACUAUUGCCAGCAAGCUGUCAGUAGGUUUCCAGAGUCCAUACGAGCAGGAGAAACGAGGUGAAAUGUGUUUGAGAGUCACAUGUGGAACUUGGAGAUCAAGACCUAUUGACUGAAGCCCGGGGUCUACAAAUUUCCACAAAUCCUCUGGGGUAGUCGAAGGCCCAAUGUCUGCAUAUCUGAGUCUGCUGGAGGCUGGAGGCCAAAAAGAAACUCUGUCUUAGCGUUAGAGGACUGUGUACACCACGGGUGGGAGGAAGAGAUGUGGCUUAUUUUACUGUUGUUGUUUUACUGCUUGUUGUGUUCUGUUUAGUUGUGCUCAGUGUUGUUCCACCAAUCAUUGUGGGUAUGUUAUGUUGACACUGGAAUGUGACACUUGCGGGCUAACCCCCGCACACCCUCAGGUGUGUUGGUUGUUAAUGCAAACGAUGAACUUCACUGUAUGUUUCGACGUACACGUGAUAAAUAAACUUGCAUUUUAAAUCUUGAAUCUUGGGAUUCAAUUUCUUGCAGGCAUUUACAGGAAAAUAAAGAAGUACAAUAGAAUUUAUGAAAAAAACUGUACAUAAAUAAAGACUGACAAACAGCCAAUGUGCAAAAGAAGACAAAUUGUGCCAAAUUCAAAGUAAAAUUUAU